AUCACUCGGCUCGUGGAUCGAUGAAGAACGCAGCUAAUUGCGCGUCAACAUGUGAACUGCAGGAUACAUGAACAUUGACAUUUCGAACGCACAUUGCGGUCCUCGGAUACUGUUCCCGGACCACUCCUGGCUGAGGGUCGUAUAUUAAUACCAGACUGCUGCUUGCCCUCUCCGGGGGGCUCGCUAGCGAAUGAUGGGAUUUCGCGUGAAUGCGUUUCCUCUAAAUUAAUACACUCAACGUGUGAACCAGUGCCGUCGCCGACGCCGCCGUACUCGGUCGGCGCGGGGAUUAGGGCGGGUUGUGUGUCCUAGAAUUCAUUCUUCGACCCGACUCCGAUACCCGAAACCCGUGCCGCACCGACGGGCGGACCUGUCGACGACGGGGCGAUCUAGAGGUUCCUCGUUAAAGGCGUGAGACGGUAAAACGUCGAUCGCGAUUCUAAAAACGACCUCAGAGCAGGUGAGACUACCCCUAAAUUUAAGCAU
Molecule: ribosomal RNA, 486 nt
Filed under: Rhadinopsylla dahurica
Lineage: Eukaryota; Metazoa; Arthropoda; Insecta; Siphonaptera; Ctenophthalmidae
Description: eukaryotic LSU rRNA
Rfam family: 5.8S ribosomal RNA (bases 1-140)
Source: RNAcentral